RNAcentral lists this ribosomal RNA (552 nucleotides) under uncultured bacterium. RNAcentral describes it as "partial 16S ribosomal RNA". It matches the Rfam family "Bacterial small subunit ribosomal RNA", at positions 354 to 896 of the family's 1533-position model. The record is from RNAcentral.
UGGGGGAAUAUUGGACAAUGGGCGCAAGCCUGAUCCAGCAAUGCCGCGUGUGUGAAGAAGGCCUUCGGGUUGUAAAGCACUUUUAUCAGGAGCGAAACGCUGUCGGCUAAUACCCGGCGGAACUGACGGUACCUGAGGAGUAAGCACCGGCUAACUUCGUGCCAGCAGCCGCGGUAAUACGAAGGGUGCAAGCGUUAAUCGGAAUUACUGGGCGUAAAGCGUGCGUAGGCGGUUUCUUAAGUCUGCUGUGAAAUCCCCGGGCUCAACCUGGGAAUGGCAGUGGAUACUGGGAGGCUAGAGUGUGUCAGAGGGUGGUGGAAUUCCCGGUGUAGCGGUGAAAUGCGUAGAGAUCGGGAGGAACAUCAGUGGCGAAGGCGGCCACCUGGGACAACACUGACGCUGAGGCACGAAAGCGUGGGGAGCAAACAGGAUUAGAUACCCUGGUAGUCCACGCCCUAAAGCGAUGCGAACUGGAUGUUGGUCUCAACUCGGAGAUCAGUGUCGAAGCUAACGCGUUAAGUUCGCCGCCUGGGGAGUACGGUCGCAAGACUG